GUCAAUUCGGAGAUAUCCAAUAAAUUAGAAUGAUAUAGAGAAGAUUAACCUCUCUCAUGCACAAGAUUACAUGCAUAAAUAGAGAAAUAUACAAUUUUUAG
This is a small nuclear RNA of Salvia splendens (bonfire salvia), 101 nucleotides long. Lineage: Eukaryota; Viridiplantae; Streptophyta; Magnoliopsida; Lamiales; Lamiaceae. The record is from RefSeq and is a predicted model, not a curated record.